Molecule: ribosomal RNA, 205 nt
Filed under: Talaromyces barcinensis
Lineage: Eukaryota; Fungi; Ascomycota; Eurotiomycetes; Eurotiales; Trichocomaceae
Description: partial 28S ribosomal RNA
Rfam family: Eukaryotic large subunit ribosomal RNA
Source: RNAcentral
GGUUGACCUCGGAUCAGGUAGGAGUUACCCGCUGAACUUAAGCAUAUCAAUAAGCGGAGGAAAAGAAACCAACCGGGAUUGCCUCAGUAACGGCGAGUGAAGCGGCAAGAGCUCAAAUUUGAAAUCUGGCCCCUCCGGGGUCCGAGUUGUAAUUUGCAGAGGAUGCUUCGGGAGCGGUCCCCGUCUAAGUGCCCUGGAACGGGCC